RNAcentral lists this transfer RNA (69 nucleotides) under Anatolichthys anatoliae anatoliae. RNAcentral describes it as "Aphanius anatoliae anatoliae tRNA-Ile". It matches the Rfam family "tRNA". Rfam says of the family: Transfer RNA (tRNA) molecules are approximately 80 nucleotides in length. Lineage: Eukaryota; Metazoa; Chordata; Actinopteri; Cyprinodontiformes; Aphaniidae. The record is from RNAcentral.
GGAGCCGUGCCUAAAUAAAGGACCACUUUGAUAGAGUGAAUCAUGAGGGUUAAAGCCCCUCCGACUCCU